UAUCUACCCGUCAACUGCAGUUAAUUCUUCUCUAAAGCUACUCUUCCAGCAAAUCCCUUCCACUGAGCAUACCUACUUUACAUUCACAUUGGGAGUCUAACGCAAUCACAGGUGAGAAUACAGCGCGCCGCGUCAGCCUUUCCACCUCCAUUUUCACACACUU
Molecule: long non-coding RNA, 163 nt
Filed under: Gadus morhua (Atlantic cod)
Lineage: Eukaryota; Metazoa; Chordata; Actinopteri; Gadiformes; Gadidae
Description: lncRNA (ENSGMOG00000025880.1)
Source: RNAcentral